GUGUGUGUUAACAAAUGGAAGAGCUAGUAUUUGAAAUUACGUCUGUCUGAAACCGAAAUCUGAGCUUCUAACCCCUAGGGUCCAGCCUCUCUUGGUAUGUCAUGAAGUCUGAUAACCUGUGGAAUCCUGUUGCCUCUUAACAGGAUGCUAAGAGUGGCACAUUCCAGUCAGAGUUGAACAACAGUUUGAACUGCAAAGGUCCACCUGAUUUUUUUCUGCCUCUGCUACCUCUGAAACAGCAAGAUCAGCCCUUGCUCUUCCUUCUGCUCCUACUCAACAUGAAGGCACAAAGACGAAGACUUUAUAAUGAUCCAUUUUUACUUAAUAAGCAGUGAGGCACUGAAGGCAGGCUCCCACUAGUCUUUAAUGGAAAUAUUACAAAGUAGAAGGUA
RNAcentral lists this long non-coding RNA (392 nucleotides) under Homo sapiens (human). Its description in RNAcentral is "HSALNT0354133". The record is from RNAcentral. Lineage: Eukaryota; Metazoa; Chordata; Mammalia; Primates; Hominidae.